GCCCCGGUAGCUCAGGGUUUCCUCUUGUCUUCUGGGGGUGACGGGCAACUGGCAGAGCGGCGGCCUCGUAAGCCGUAGGUCGCGGGUUCGAGUCAACAGGAGAAACACCCGCCCGGGGCUCCA
Molecule: transfer RNA, 123 nt
Filed under: Candidatus Jordarchaeia archaeon
Lineage: Archaea; Promethearchaeati; Candidatus Jordarchaeia
Description: tRNA-Thr
Source: RNAcentral